Molecule: unclassified non-coding RNA, 336 nt
Filed under: soil metagenome
Description: partial contains 5.8S ribosomal RNA, internal transcribed spacer 2, and large subunit ribosomal RNA
Rfam family: 5.8S ribosomal RNA (bases 1-120)
Source: RNAcentral
GAUGAAGACGUAGCGAAAUGCGAUAAGUAAUGUGAAUUGAAGAAUUCCGUGAAUCAUCGAAUCUUUGAACGCACAUUGCGCCCCCUGGUAUUCCGGGGGGGCAUGCCUGUCCGAGCGUCAUUGCAACCUUCAAGCGCGGCUUGUGUGUUGGGUCUCGUCCCCCGUGGACGGGCCCGAAAGGCAGUGGCGGCGUCCCGACAUGGUGCCCGAGCGUAUGGGAAUCCUCUUCCGCUCGAAUCGGCCCAUGCGGCGCUGGUCGUAACCAAAUUUUUUACCGGUUGACCUCGGAUCAGGUAGGGAUACCCGCUGAACUUAAGCAUAUCAAUAAGCGGAGGA